CGGAAUUACUGGGCGUAAAGCGCGCGCAGGCGGUCGGACAAGUUUGGCGUGAAAGCUCUCGGCUUAACCGGGAGAGGUCGUCGAAAACUGUUUGGCUUGAGGCAGUGAGAGGGGUGUAGAAUUCCAGGUGUAGUGGUGGAAUGCGUAGAUAUCUGGAGGAAUACCAGUGGCGAAAGCGGCACCCUGGCAUUGACCUGACGCUGAAGUGCGAAAGCGUGGGGAGCGAACGGGAUUAGAUACCCCGGUAGUCCACGCUGUAAACGAUGAACACUAGGUGUAGGCGGAGUCAAAUCCGUUUGUGCCGAAGCCAACGCGAUAAGUGUUCCGCCUGGGGAGUACGGCCGCAAGGCUAAAACUCAAAGGAAUUGACGGGGACCCGCACAAGCAGCGGAGCGUGUGGUUUAAUUCGAUGCAACGCGAAGAACCUUACCUGGGCUUGACAUGUACGUAGUAGUGAACCGAAAGGGGAACGAGCCUUCGGGCAGCGUACACAGGUGCUGCAUGGCUGUCGUCAGCUCGUGUCGUGAGAUGUUGGGUUAAGUCCCGCAACGAGCGCAACCCUCGUCGCUAGUUAUACGUGUCUAGCGAGACUGCCGGUAUCAAACUGGAGGAAGGUGAGGAUGAUGUCAAGUCAGCAUGGCCUUUAUGUCCAGGGCUACACACACGCUACAAUGGGCAGUACAAUGGGCAGCGAAAGGGCGACCUGGAGCAAAUCCUAUCAAAGCUGUUCGUAGUUCGGAUUGUAGGCUGCAAUUCGCCUGCAUGAAGCCGGAGUUGCUAGUAAACGUAGGUCAG
RNAcentral lists this ribosomal RNA (795 nucleotides) under uncultured Chloroflexota bacterium. RNAcentral describes it as "bacterial SSU rRNA". It matches the Rfam family "Bacterial small subunit ribosomal RNA", at positions 546 to 1352 of the family's 1533-position model. Lineage: Bacteria; Bacillati; Chloroflexota. The record is from RNAcentral.